CUCCGGUUGAUCCCGCCGGACCCGACUGCUAUCAGAGUGAGAUUAAGCCAUGCGAGUUAACGUAGCAAUACGUGGCGCACGGCUCAGUAACACGUAGUCAACAUGCCCAGAGGACGUGGAUAACCUCGGGAAACUGAGUCUAAACCGCGAUAAGUGAGGAUUUCUGGAAUGGUUCCUGACUAAAAUCUAUAUGGCCUCUGGAUUGGACUGCGGCCGAUCAGGCUGUUGGUGAGGUAAUGGCCCACCAAACCUGUAACCGGUACGGGCUCUGAGAGGAGGAGCCCGGAGAUGGGCACUGAGACAAGGGCCCAGGCCCUAUGGGGCGCAGCAGGCGCGAAACCUCUGCAAUAGGCGAAAGCCUGACGGGGUUACUCUGAGUGACUUUCGCUAAGAAAGUCUUUUGGCACCUCUAAAAAGGGUGCAGAAUAAGGGGUGGGCAAGUCUGGUGUCAGCCGCCGCGGUAAUACCAGCACCCCGAGUGGUCGGGACGAUUAUUGGGCCUAAAGCAUCCGUAGCCGGUUCUGCAAGUCCCCCGUUAAAUCCAGCUGCUCAACAGAUGGGCCGCGGAGGAUACUACAGAGCUAGGAGGCAGGAGAGGCAAGCGGUACUCAGUGGGUAGGGGUAAAAUCCGCUGAUCCAUAGAAGACCACCAGUGGCGAAGGCGGCUUGCCAGAACGCGCUCGACGGUGAGGGAUGAAAGCUGGGGGAGCAAACCGGAUUAGAUACCCGGGUAGUCCCAGCUGUAAACGAUGCAGACUCGGUGAUGGGUUGGCCUCGCGCCUGCCCAGUGCCGCAGGGAAGCCGUUAAGUCUGCCGCCUGGGGAGUACGGUCGCAAGACUGAAACUUAAAGGAAUUGGCGGGGGAGCA
RNAcentral lists this ribosomal RNA (868 nucleotides) under uncultured archaeon. RNAcentral's name for it is "bacterial SSU rRNA". It matches the Rfam family "Archaeal small subunit ribosomal RNA", at positions 1 to 878 of the family's 1478-position model. The record is from RNAcentral.